Molecule: unclassified non-coding RNA, 259 nt
Filed under: Hyaloscypha sp.
Lineage: Eukaryota; Fungi; Ascomycota; Leotiomycetes; Helotiales; Hyaloscyphaceae
Description: partial contains 5.8S ribosomal RNA, internal transcribed spacer 2, and large subunit ribosomal RNA
Source: RNAcentral
AACGCACAUUGCGCCCCCUGGCAUUCCGGGGGGCAUGCCUGUCCGAGCGUCAUUGCUGCCCAUCAAGCCCGGCUUGUGUGUUGGGUCGUCGUCCCCCCCGGGGGACGGGCCCGAAAGGCAGCGGCGGCACCGUGUCCGGUCCUCGAGCGUAUGGGGCUUUGUCACCCGCUCGAUUAGGGCCGGCCGGGCGCCAGCCGACGUCUCCAACCAUUUUUUUCAGGUUGACCUCGGAUCAGGUAGGGAUACCCGCUGAACUUAA